RNAcentral lists this ribosomal RNA (460 nucleotides) under uncultured bacterium. Its description in RNAcentral is "partial 16S ribosomal RNA". It matches the Rfam family "Bacterial small subunit ribosomal RNA", at positions 338 to 795 of the family's 1533-position model. The record is from RNAcentral.
CCUACGGGAGGCAGCAGUGAGGAAUAUUGGUCAAUGGACGAGAGUCUGAACCAGCCACGUAGCGUGAAGGAUGACUGCCCUCUGGGUUGUAAACUUCUUUUAUAUGGGAAUAAAAUGUUCCACGUGUGGGAUUUCGUAUGUACCAUAUGAAUAAGGAUCGGCUAACUCCGUUCCAGCAGCCGCGGUAAUACGGAGGAUCCGAGCGUUAGCCGGAUUUAUUGGGUUUAAAGGGAGCGUAGGUGGAUUGUUAAGUCAGUUGUGAAAGUUUGCGGCUCAACCGUAAAAUUGCAUUUGAAACUGGCAGUCUUGAGUACAGUAGAGGUGAGCGGAAUUCGAGGUGUAGCGGUGAAAUGCUUAGAUAUAACGAAGAACUCCGAUUGCGAAGGCAGCUCACUGGACUGCAACUGACACUGAGGCUCGAAAGUGUGGGUAUCAAACAGGAUUAGAUACCCGAGUAGUC